CAGGGAGACCCCCGAACACCCUCUGGUGAGGCAGAGGCUCCUGCUGGGAUUGGGGAUGAGGGCGCCAGCCAGCAAGGGCUGGAGAGGCCGAGAAGUGACAGAAGUUACUGUCCCCACCCCAAUGCAGAGCUGAGAGAGACAGACAAUCACUCAGAAAUCUGGAAGGGCCCUGAGAGGUUAUUCUAUCCAAACUUCUUGCUCUGCAAAUGAGGAAGUGAGGCUCAGAGAGGUGGUUUUUGCAAGGUCACACGGCUCCCAGGCCAGGGCUCUUCCUAUUUGGCCACACCAUCUCCUGGGGGUUAAGGCGUGAGCUCAAAAGAACGCCCUGAGCUGGUUCCUCCUGCAAGGUUCUGAGGAGGACUGGCCAGGCAUGUUGUAAAACGACCCUCAGAUGUGAUCUGUCUGAUGCUUUUCUCCUGGUUAGCCUGGAGUUCUGGGUUUGGGGGAGGAAGACCACAGAGGCAAAGUGCCAUUUUCAUCACGUCACAUUACUGGUAUAUCACAGCACUGGCCAUCGUUAGAAUCCACACAUGUGAAGCCAGCUCCAGAGCCCUCUGAUGAUGGGGCUACAUCCCUUCCCAGCAUCUGCUUGCUUCCACACAUGCAGGUGCCAUCUCUCUCCCAUCUCUCCUGAUUCCAGAUCAUCUGACCCUGAUUCCCCAAAUGUCUGAUGCAAGCCGGCUACCUCGGUGGGAGCUGUCUCAUGGAAAGGUCUAAGUGGCAAGGAACUGAGGGAGACCUCCAGCCCACAGCCCGGGAGGCCCUGCGUCUCGUCAACAGUCAAGUGAGUGAGGUUGGAGCCCGGAGCGUACCUCCGUGGGUGAAGCUGGGAGAGGUGUGCAGCCCCAGCCAGCACCCUGACUGUAGCCUGGCAGAACCUGGGCACAGGGCCCAGC
Molecule: long non-coding RNA, 896 nt
Organism: Prionailurus viverrinus (fishing cat)
Lineage: Eukaryota; Metazoa; Chordata; Mammalia; Carnivora; Felidae
Exons: 4
Source: RefSeq, a predicted model, not a curated record